CGCAAGCCUCCAAACACUGUUUUCUCUCUCUUACCUCUCUCAUCGCCUUUGGUUUCUCUCUUACUCGCGUACCCUACCCUUUGAAACUUCUAAACUUUCAACAUUUCUCUCCACCUCCGCUAGAAAACCCUAACCCACUUUCUCUCUCCUAGGGUUUCGUUUCUCUCUCUAGUCAAACAAGAUGCAGGACCCUCUAAACAUGUCCCUCGACGACCUCAUCAAGACCAGCAAGAAAUCCGGAUCGGGCAACGCUCGAGGCCGUGGCCGGGCCUCAGGACCCGGACCCGCCCGCCGGUUGCCCAAUCGUGCCGCCAAUCGUACGACGCCGUAUGCGGCGGCCAAGGCGCCGGAGACCGCGUGGCAACACGACCUGUAUACGGAUCAGGGGGCGGCGGCGUUCCCGGCUCAAGCUGGAAGAGCCUCGGCCAUUGAAACUGGAACCAAGCUCUACAUCUCCAAUCUCGAUUAUGGCGUUUCCAACGAGGACAUUAAGGAACUGUUUUCAGAGGUUGGUGACCUGAAGCGAUAUGGAGUACAUUAUGACCGAAGUGGGAGAUCGAAGGGAACGGCAGAAGUAGUCUUCUCACGACGACCAGAUGCUGUUGCCGCGGUUAAAAGAUACAACAAUGUUCAGCUUGAUGGGAAACCAAUGAAGAUAGAGAUUGUAGGAACGAACAUUUCGACACCUGGCGGACCUCCUACUUUGCCCCCUGCUGCUAAUGGCAACUUUGGAAAUUCGAAUGGAGUUCCUAGGGGUGGACAGAGUAGGGGUGGUGCAUUUGGACGUAUACGUGGCGGGGGUGGCCGUGGUCCUAGAAGGGGGGGCCGUGGACGUGGAAGUGGUAAUGGAGGUGGAAGAGGCCGUGGUGGUGAAAAGGUAUCUGCUGAAGAUCUUGAUGCCGAGCUGGAGAAGUACCAUGCAGAAGCAAUGCAAGAGUAAAACGCUAGCAGUUGUGUUUUAGUGUUGGCUUUAUUACAUCUUCUGUGGCCCAUUAGGGGGCUUGGUGAUUUGACAACCUCAUCUAUUUUGUGUAUUUCUAUCGAAGUCCUACUUUCUAGAGAUAGAAAUUAAGCGUAGAAAGAACUUAUAGAAUCUUGCUUAUGGAGUUUGGGAUCUUAUUAUGUUUAUUUGAACAUGGGUAUGAAAUAUGUGGGUUAAUGGACAGUUUCAGUGCUUUAACUGAACUCCCACUCUUGGACCGUUAGCUUCUUCAAUCCCUUUUUGUACAUUCAACAAGUUGGGGUAUGGAAUUGGGAAGCUUAUCUCUCUGUUUCUCCACACGCAAAGACAAAACUGGCUGCAAGGUGUGAAAGGAUUGAGCCUUAAAGAAAUCCCACACUGCUGCAAUGUGUUUGGUUCUACUGCAUGUAAAGUGGCGUACUUCACAUGAGUUGAUUUAGCUGGUUAGAUUUCCAGCUAUUUUAUGGUAGCUUUCUCUAAUAUCCUGCCCCAGAAAAUGAUAGUUUCCAUGUUUAUUUGGCAUCGAUCCUGACAUUAUGUGUUAAGAGAAAUUGUGUGGACUAAACAACCACCGGUUCUACAUGUAGAAUCGGGUAACAGGAGUCACAAUGAUGAUGUUCAGAGAUAUGCGUUGCCUUCGGGCUUCAUAAUCCCUGGGGGAGUUCCAGAUAUGCCUGCUUUUUGACAGUCUAUUCGCUAAAGACAGCGGGGUGACUGUUAAUACUGAAUGUAUUGUUGGGUAAGAGUGAGUGAGUUGCUGUUUGAUUGUGAAUUUCCCAUCUGUUGGCUAGAUUGCAAUGGUAUGAGUGGUUGAAUUCUUCUCGAGCACUUUUUCGUUGAUCAUUGGAGCAUGAAUCAGGUUCUAUCUUUGCAUGGUUGGAGUUCAUGUCCAAUAUAGAAUACCAUUGAUUUUCCCCCAUCCUAGCGACUGGAAUAACCUUGUGAGUUUUGAAAUUAGUUUUCUUAAAUUUUCCCUUGA
This is an RNA transcript of Prunus dulcis (almond), 1940 nucleotides long. It is a transcript of the gene named THO complex subunit 4A, with no coding region annotated. The record is from RefSeq and is a predicted model, not a curated record. Lineage: Eukaryota; Viridiplantae; Streptophyta; Magnoliopsida; Rosales; Rosaceae. The transcript has 6 exons.